UAAUACGUAGGGUGCUAGCGUUGUUCGGAAUCAUUGGGCGUAAAGCGCGUGUAGGCGGUUAGUAAAGUUGGGUGUGAAAUCCCUGGGCUCAACCGAGGAAGUGCAUCCAAAACUAACUAGCUAGAGAGUGGUAGAGGGAGGUGGAAUUCCGUGUGUAGAGGUGAAAUUCGUAGAUAUACGGAGGAAUACCGGUGGCGAAGGCGGCCUCCUGGACCAUUUCUGACGCUGAGACGCGAAAGCGUGGGGAGCAAACAGGAUUAGAUACCCUGGUAGUCCACGCUGUAAACGAUGGGUACUAGAUGUUGCGGGAAUUGACCCCUGCAGUGUCGACGCUAACGCAUUAAGUACCCCGCCUGGGAAGUACGGCCGCAAGGUUA
This 377-nucleotide ribosomal RNA is filed under the name uncultured bacterium. Its description in RNAcentral is "bacterial SSU rRNA". It matches the Rfam family "Bacterial small subunit ribosomal RNA", at positions 521 to 896 of the family's 1533-position model. The record is from RNAcentral.